Molecule: ribosomal RNA, 253 nt
Filed under: uncultured bacterium
Lineage: Bacteria
Description: partial 16S ribosomal RNA
Rfam family: Bacterial small subunit ribosomal RNA
Source: RNAcentral
GACGAACUGCCCAAACGUUGUUCGGAAUCACUGGGCUUAAAGGGCGCGUAGGCGGCCGAUCAAGUCAGGGGUGAAAUCCGGCAGCUCAACUGUCGAAGUGCCUUUGAUACUGAUUUGCUCGAGGGAUAUAGGGGUCUGUGGAACCUCUGGUGGAGCGGUGAAAUGCGUUGAUAUCAGAAGGAACGCCGGUGGCGAAAGCGACGGACUGGAUAUCUUCUGACGCUGAGGCGCGAAAGCUAGGGGAGCAAACGGG